CUUCGGUUACGAUCGGUGACAGGUGGUGGCAUGGGUUGUCGUCAGCUCGUGUCGUGAGAUGUUGGGUUAAGUCCCGCAACGAGCGCAACCCCUAUUGUUAGUUGCCAUCAUUCAGUUGGGCACUCUAGCGAGACUGCCGGUAAUAAACCGAAGGAAGGUGGGGAUGACGUCAAAUCAUCAUGCCCCUUAUGACCUGGGCUACACACGUGCUACAAUGGUUGGUACAACGAGUUGCGAGUCGGUGACGGCGAGCUAAUCUCUUAAAGCCAAUCUCAGUUCGGAUUGUAGGCUGCAACUCGCCUACAUGAAGUCGGAAUCGCUAGUAAUCGCGGAUCAGCACGCCGCGGUGAAUACGUUCCCGGGCCUU
RNAcentral lists this ribosomal RNA (367 nucleotides) under uncultured Streptococcus sp. RNAcentral's name for it is "bacterial SSU rRNA". It matches the Rfam family "Bacterial small subunit ribosomal RNA", at positions 1014 to 1382 of the family's 1533-position model. Lineage: Bacteria; Bacillati; Bacillota; Bacilli; Lactobacillales; Streptococcaceae. The record is from RNAcentral.